RNAcentral lists this non-coding RNA (194 nucleotides) under bovine gut metagenome. The record is from RNAcentral.
CGUCGCGAGGCGGAAUCUGAAGGAAGCCGGAUGUCGGAGGAAGGAAAUAAACCCGGCGGGCAAAGUCCCGGCCUGACGAACAGGAACCGCAUACAAGGCAUGCAUGAAUGGAUGAGUCUGCCACACAAGAUGAAAUCCAAUACUGCCCGGGUUCAUGGAUGUAAAUGCGGCAGGUGGAUGGGAUGAAGGUUGUU